AGUGAACGCUGGCGGCGUGCCUAACACAUGCAAGUCGAGCGGAGUACUAGCUGUAGCAAUACAGUAAGUACUCAGCGGCAGACGGGUGAGUAAUACGUAGACAACUUACCUCUUAGCGGGGGAUAGCCCACCGAAAGGUGGGGUAAUACCGCGUACGAUUGAGAUUCGGCAUCGGAUUUCAAUGAAACAUCCGCAAGGAUGGCUAAGGGAAGGGUCUGCGGCCUAUCAGCUAGUUGGUGAGGUAACGGCUCACCAAGGCUACGACGGGUAACCGACCUGAAAGGGUGAUCGGUCACACUGACACUGAGACACGGGUCAGACUCCUACGGGAGGCAGCAGUGAGGAAUUUUGGACAAUGAGGGAAACCCUGAUCCAGCGACGCCGCGUGAAGGAUGAAGGUCUUCGGAUUGUAAACUUCUUUUGUCUGGGAAUAAGAAACCCGUGGAAACACGGGGAGUGAAUGUACCAGGCGAAUAAGCCACGGCUAACUUCGUGCCAGCAGCCGCGGU
RNAcentral lists this ribosomal RNA (509 nucleotides) under uncultured bacterium. RNAcentral's name for it is "bacterial SSU rRNA". It matches the Rfam family "Bacterial small subunit ribosomal RNA", at positions 29 to 521 of the family's 1533-position model. The record is from RNAcentral.